ACAUGAUAAAUUACUACCGUUUUCCGAUCCCUCUUGCUGAAAUGUGCAUUUACAGCUUCGUUGAGAUUGCCAUGGUGUUACUGCACCUAAACCAAAAAUAUAAAACUAUCAAGUCAAAAAACAAAAUAACGAUAAAUAUUAAGCUCAAAAAGGAAAUUACUAUGAAUAAUAACAACAAUAAUAUGGAAGAACACCAUUGUAGGCAAUCAAACUGUGAAAUUUGUUUACUUGAUGCAAUCAAUAAAUAAGAACUAUGUGUACCAACGAAAAGCCUUUAAUGAGUCGUCUACAAAUUUCACUUUGUUGAAGUGGGGAAAAAACCCAAAAAAUGUCAUAUUACAAAAGUGUAUAUACAUAUUGUAAUUGCAAACAACCAUCCAGAAAUUCAUAACCAACUCAUUGAACUUAGUUUUAUUCACACAAUAAGCAAAAUAUUAGUUCAAUCUAGGACUAAACCCCAUAACUGCAUACAGUUGUUGAUAAACUAUUAAAAUCCAAUGUCAAUCAUGUCAUCCCAGCAAAACACAUAAAAUUCGUACAACUAAAAAAUUAAGAAACCAUGAAAACGAAUAUAAUAAUGGUAAAUAUAUGAAAAAAGGUUUCAAAAUUCCUCCCACGCUAAAAUCCUUUAGUCUGCACAAUUUCAGUUAAUAAAGCAGUUAUAGAUUGAAACUGAAUUUCAUAGAAAGACAAUAUCAAAUCUAAAUAUUGAUGUUGCAGGACGCAACAACAGAGCGUAUAAUAUGAUGCAAUCAUUUCUUGUGUAUUUUCUAAGAAUACAUAUUGAUAGAUAAUAGUGAACUUCCAAAGAUGCCACACAAUUAGUUUGAGGGUGAAAAAAAAUCAUGAUUGCUGCGUGGGGUUUGACAAAAACACUUCAGGGUCUGCAUUCUCAGUCUUAUGUACAGAAUUACAUACAUCGAGAAUUAAACACGCCGAACAACAUUUAUGCAAAGCAGACAAUGAAGACAAAAUAUUACUAUUUUCACCUUGUAAAAAUUACAUGUUGAAAACAAUUUGGUCGUUCAAAACAUACUGUAAAAAAAAAUUGAAACUAAUCAAGAUAAUCAAAACUGAAAAAACAAAACGAAAAGCUAUAUACAGAAAACCGGCUAUCCACAUAAAAAAUUGCAAAAUUGAGAGAAUCUCGUUAAAGGUUAUUUAUGAUACUCUCACCUAUACGGUAGAAAAUUUUAAAGUGUCAAUAAACUGAACUACUGAAAACAAAAGGAGGGAAAAAAUUCAUAAUACGCAAGAAAAUUUAUUAAAAAAAAUUACCAGCGAAAAAAUUUAUAAAAAAGACAGUAUACACAUACCUCAUUUUUCAACAUACUUCAUUGUUUAGCUCCCUGACAUCAAGUUAUGGAGGCAGCGACCCUUUUGAACCGAAUCAUCUUUGAAUUCAUAAAAACAAAAAAAAAACAUCUCAUUAAAAUAGCCUUAUAUCCAUAAAAAAUUCCACCAAAGACACACACACGAAGCAUCAUAAAUGGAUUCAAAGAAAAGGAAUUACCAAAAAAAAUUUAACUCCUCAAUAGUGGACAGAAAAAGAAUACAUCGAACAUGGAAUUGAAGAAUUUUGUUUUUGCAAAAUUCAACUUUCAUCAUAUGAAAAAAGAAAAAAAAAAUUAUAAUCAAAUAAUGCUUAAAAUAACCAUAGACAACAUCCUAAAUAAUUAAUGUAGAAUUGAAAUUACACUAAUAAAAUUAUGCACAUCCCAGAAAAACCGAUCAAUCACCACCAACUUCAUAUUCUCUGGAUUAACUCGAGCAAGCUGAUUUUUUUCUUCUCUUGUAAAAUCAUAUUUCCGGAAAACCACAAUUGAAAAAUUGUGUCCGUAUGAAGUGGAGAGAAAGUGGAAAAGAAAACGAAAUGAAAACGGAAUAAAAUAUCAGAGGGAGAAGUGGGUGAAAGAUGAAGCGCCGAAAACCCGGGAGAAGUGGGGUGAAGCAGAAUAAUUUCAAAUAAUUAACUUAGGGCAACUCCAAUUGGAGUAUCAAAUGGAUUAUCAAAUCCAUAAACCACCUUUUUUAUAUCCCAAAAUUAAAAUUUUCUACUCCAAUGGGAGUAUCGAAAUGGGUAAGUAUUUUGAUAUUCUACCUCUUUGAAUGUAAAAAUACAUCCUGAAAAUUGAGUUAUCAAAAAAAUAACUACCUAAACAUCCAAUCACAAAAUGACACGUGGCAAUUACAAAUAAAACCACUAAAAAACUUUCAAUUAGUUAUUAAUUUUAAUAACCAUGGUUGGAGUAGACAAAUUGUAAAUGGAUAUUAAAAUAUUAUCUUAAUUAUCAAAUGAGUAUUUGAUAUUCCAAUUUUGAUAUUUAGCAUUGGAGUUGCUCCUACAAAGGAAAAGAAAACUUACCUUAUAACGUGGCUGAAGAAACGGAACAAAGUAGAAUUAUAAAACAAAAACCCACACCAGGAAUUGAAUAAACCGUCAGAGGAUUGAAUAAACGUGGAGAGAAAGGAGGGAGUGGAGAAGGGAAAAG
Molecule: long non-coding RNA, 2492 nt
Filed under: Erythranthe guttata (spotted monkey flower)
Lineage: Eukaryota; Viridiplantae; Streptophyta; Magnoliopsida; Lamiales; Phrymaceae
Description: long non-coding RNA (EGUT_LNC000138)
Source: RNAcentral